Molecule: long non-coding RNA, 795 nt
Organism: Stomoxys calcitrans (stable fly)
Lineage: Eukaryota; Metazoa; Arthropoda; Insecta; Diptera; Muscidae
Exons: 2
Source: RefSeq, a predicted model, not a curated record
AAUACAUAAAAAAAAAAUUAUGAUUGCAUAUAAAGAAACGUGUUUUGGAAACAAAAACAUUUGAUUGCUGUCAAAUUUCGCUCGCGAAACAAUUAAAAAUUUCAGCUGCUACUCCGAAAGCGGAAUAAUAGAAUACCAACUCUAUGGUUAUGCAUUUUAGUUGCUGCCAGCAUGCAGCAAUGUUUUUUUGCAGCCAUUUGACAACAAUUUUGGCCCAUUGGUGGACGAAAACUGGUAAUUUACCUUCGGAUAGAGUUAGAUCGAAUAUGCCUCUUCACACAACUGUUGUUAAUUUUUGUGGACCAUUCUUCUACAAAUUGAAUCGCUUGAAGGGCUUUGGGAAGAAGCUGCAAAGUCCGCCAAAUUUAAUUUUUACAGAGUUGUUGGACUCAACAUUUAACACUUAAUGAGCUAAGGUCUUUAGUAUGCCAAAUAUCAGUUAUCUUAAAUUCUCGCCCAUUGUGUCCUCUUUCAGAACAUUCAGAUCACUUGGAUGUAUUCACCCCAGGACACUUUUUAGAAGGCGCUCCACUAGUCUUUACCCCAGACCCAAAUAUAACAUGGGUCAAUUUCGGCCGUCUCAAUAGCUGACAAAAGGUCUCCGAACUGCAAUAAAAUUUCUAGCGAAAAUGGAGUAGCUUCUACCCUCUCUCUUGCUAAAGUGAACAAAAUGGCAACAAAAGGUGAAGGAAUUUCUCUAAAAUGUUUGGUGCUCAUUAAAUACGACAAUUUACCAAUAAUCGACCCAUAAAUCAUCGCUUUUUUUAUUUUUUAAAUAAAAGACCGUAAAAAAUA